RNAcentral lists this transfer RNA (67 nucleotides) under Prosciurillus leucomus (whitish dwarf squirrel). RNAcentral's name for it is "tRNA-Thr". Lineage: Eukaryota; Metazoa; Chordata; Mammalia; Rodentia; Sciuridae. The record is from RNAcentral.
CUCUAAUAGUAUAAUUAUUACCUUGGCCUUGUAAACCAAAAAUGAAGANCUCAAAUCUUCUUAGAAC